This is a long non-coding RNA of Hemicordylus capensis (graceful crag lizard), 600 nucleotides long. RefSeq lists it as uncharacterized. The transcript has 3 exons. The record is from RefSeq and is a predicted model, not a curated record. NCBI's taxonomy places the organism in Eukaryota, Metazoa, Chordata, Lepidosauria, Squamata, Cordylidae.
UGGAGGUGGAGGAGCUGAAGCUGUAGCAGUGGUGGUAGUGGUGGUAGCCUCUUCAGUAAAGUCAGCCAACCCCUCUGCAGCCCCAGAUGCAGGAUCAGUUACCACCAGAACUGCUAGUCUUAUGAGAAUGUGAGUCUGAGUUCCCGUUGUUACCUGCUCCUUCUGUACUCCACACACCAGCAGCCAUCCAGCAGAGCCUGCCUUUCCUGCACAGAGUGAUGUAAAGUUGAAACGAGGUACAAAAUUUGCAAGGUGCCAUUCAUCUUAACUUGGAGCAUCUUAAGUCGAGGACUGCCUGUACAGGGUAUCUAGACAUCUCCCCUUGGAAUAUGAUGUGCUUCUGUGUUGGAGAGAUCACAUUUUCCCAGAUGUUCUUUAAGGAGAAGAGAGCCAGAGAGAGGUGAAGAUACAGCCCUCGUGGUGCAGAGCCAGCCAGGCAGUGUGCGAAGGAGCGGAGGAGAAGGUGCAAAGGAGGAAAAAAUAUGAAUGAGUAGCUCCAUGUUUAACUUCUCUGUAUGUUAGAAAAUUAUAUGUGAAUUUAAGUUAUUAAAAUAUUAAUGUUAUUUUAUUAAAAGGUACUGAAUGAAGUAAACAAUAAAG